UAGGGAAUCUUCCACAAUGGACGCAAGUCUGAUGGAGCAACGCCGCGUGAGUGAAGAAGGUUUUCGGAUCGUAAAGCUCUGUUGUUGGUGAAGAAGGAUAGAGGCAGUAACUGGUCUUUAUUUGACGGUAAUCAACCAGAAAGUCACGGCUAACUACGUGCCAGCAGCCGCGGUAAUACGUAGGUGGCAAGCGGUGUCCGGAUUUAUUGGGCGUAAAGCGAGCGCAGGCGGAAUGAUAAGUCUGAUGUGAAAGCCCACGGCUCAACCGUGGAACUGCAUCGGAAACUGUCAUUCUUGAGUGCAGAAGAGGAGAGUGGAAUUCCAUGUGUAGCGGUGGAAUGCGUAGAUAUAUGGAAGAACGCCAGUGGCGAAGGCGGCUCUCUGGUCUGCAACUGACGCUGAGGCUCGAAAGCAUGGGUAGCGAACAGG
Molecule: ribosomal RNA, 429 nt
Filed under: bacterium
Lineage: Bacteria
Description: partial 16S ribosomal RNA
Rfam family: Bacterial small subunit ribosomal RNA
Source: RNAcentral